Portunus trituberculatus (swimming crab) is the source of this 535-nucleotide long non-coding RNA. RefSeq lists it as uncharacterized. Lineage: Eukaryota; Metazoa; Arthropoda; Malacostraca; Decapoda; Portunidae. The transcript is spliced from 3 exons. The record is from RefSeq and is a predicted model, not a curated record.
ACCCGCAGCGUUGUCAAGAGAGGCAUCGGGCAGCUGAAGCGACGUUUUCACGUGCUGCACAGCGAGAUCCGAGUUGGUCCUCCAUCCAAGGUCUGCCAAAUAGUAGAAGUUUGUGCACUGCUGCACAACAUCUGCAAAGUCAGAAAUAUCAUUCUUCCAGAAGAAGAAGAUGAAAAUCUGGCUGCAGCCGAGGAUGGAGGCAACGAGGAGCAACCCCCAGUACAGGAAGUUCAACGUCGCCGUGAAGGAAUCCUGUACAGGGAUGAAUUUGUGGUGCUUCACUUCAACAUUGAUGAGUGAUGAUACACCAGUGUCAUCACUGCUGAGAUUGGUGUCAUUUUCAUGUGUAUGACCUCCCAGCAAACAAAUCUACGUCGUCACCACGUGACGGUCACGUGGCGCUGUUGUUGUAGGGACGUUAUAUUUCUACGUGAAUUUCACGUAGAUGUGUCGACACGAAUCGACGUGGAAAGAACGUCGAAAUGCACGUGAAAAAGUCCCUUGAAUUCCACUUGUGGAGCACUUUACUUUAUUC